RNAcentral lists this long non-coding RNA (216 nucleotides) under Prunus persica (peach). Its description in RNAcentral is "long non-coding RNA (PPER_LNC000618)". The record is from RNAcentral. Lineage: Eukaryota; Viridiplantae; Streptophyta; Magnoliopsida; Rosales; Rosaceae.
CUCCCAUGUAAGAGCUUGCAAGGGUGGGCUGAGGAAAAACAAGAAUUACUUCCUCAGAGAGCUGUUGUUGCAACACCUCAUCAAGCACUAUAUCGGUAGGGUACACCACAAGUUCAUUUUCCAGCCUUUUCACAUUGGUAAAAUUCCUGUUCGGAAUUUUCAAAGGACAGUCAUGCAUUUCCUCCUUUUUUUGACCACAGUAAAAACAGAUUUCCC